This 301-nucleotide ribosomal RNA is filed under the name uncultured bacterium. RNAcentral's name for it is "partial 16S ribosomal RNA". It matches the Rfam family "Bacterial small subunit ribosomal RNA", at positions 509 to 809 of the family's 1533-position model. The record is from RNAcentral.
CAGUAGCCGCGGUAAAACGGAGGGCGCGAGCGUUACCCGGAUUUACUGGGCGUAAAGGGCGUGUAGGCGGCCUGGGGCGUCCCAUGUGAAAGGCCACGGCUCAACCGUGGAGGAGCGUGGGAUACGCUCAGGCUAGAGGGUGGGAGAGGGUGGUGGAAUUCCCGGAGUAGCGGUGAAAUGCGCAGAUACCGGGAGGAACGCCGAUGGCGAAGGCAGCCACCUGGUCCACUUCUGACGCUGAGGCGCGAAAGCGUGGGGAGCAAACCGGAUUAGAUACCCCUGUAGUCCCUGUCUCUUAUAA